GCCUGCUCACCCUCACACAGGGCGGGCCCAGUGCAGCCUCUGCCAGUCGCAGUUCCUGUCGGCGUGGCCGACCGUCCUCGUGAGGACCGAACUCAGGGCCCGGCGCCAUGAGCCUGCUGCUCCGGAACCUGCAGCGUGCGGUCCCGCUGCGCCGUGCCCCCCUGCGCCGCCGGCUGCAGGCGCUCCGGGCCGUCAUGGGCGUGGAGCGCUUCGACCUGGCUGUGGUGUGCGCCGACGAUGCGGCCAUGAGGCGCCUCAACCGAGUGUUCCGGCAGCGGGACGCCCCGACCGACGUGCUCGCCUUUCCCUUCCAUGAGAACCUGAAGGCAGGAGAGCUGCCGCAGCCCACCUUCCCCGAUGACUACAACCUGGGGGACAUCAUCCUGGGUGUGGAGCUCAUCUCCCAGCAGUGUGAGGAGCACGAGGACUACUACGACGUGCUGACCGUGACGGCCACCCACGGACUGUGUCACUUGCUGGGCUUCACACACAGCACGGAGGCCGAGUGGCAGAAGAAAAAAGUUCCUUGAUGCAGUUGACCUGUCCUGUUCCAAUGACCUGUGCCCUGUUCUCUCUGGCACAGUUGCCCAGCGAGAUGUUCCACAAGGAGAAGCAGGUUCUGGAGGAGCUGAACCAGCACUUGGGGACCCAGCUGCAGCCCCUGAGCAGAGGCCUCUUCUCAAAGGACACUUGAGGACCUUCCAGACACAGGGACGCAGAGAUGGAGAUGCCUAGGGACCAGGGGUUCCCCAUGCUGGCCCCUGACAUGCUCCAUAUGGGACUGAGUCCUGGAGUAGAGACUGUCCUUGAUGAACAAGAGAGAUUCCCAUUCACUCCUUUGCUCAGCAGCUAGUUUCUUGGCAUGUUGUGAGUAAAGGAAGUCUGCUUUGGGGACAGUGA
Molecule: RNA transcript, 900 nt
Organism: Erinaceus europaeus (western European hedgehog)
Lineage: Eukaryota; Metazoa; Chordata; Mammalia; Eulipotyphla; Erinaceidae
Gene: YBEY
Gene name: ybeY metalloendoribonuclease
Exons: 5
Source: RefSeq, a predicted model, not a curated record